GAUCAUGGCUCAGGAUGAACGCUAGCUACAGGCUUAACACAUGCAAGUCGAGGGGCAUCAUGGAGUUGCUUGCAAACUCUGAUGGCGACCGGCGCACGGGUGAGUAACGCGUAUCCAACCUUCCCUAUAGUAGAGGAUAGCCCGGCGAAAGUCGGAUUAAUACUCUAUGUUUUCCGUUGCAGACAUCUAAGAUGGAACAAAGGCUUGCCGCUAUAGGAUGGGGAUGCGUCUGAUUAGGUAGUCGGCGGGUAACGGCCCACCGAGCCAUCGAUCAGUAGGGUUCUGAGAGGAAGGUCCCCCACAUUGGAACUGAGACACGGUCCAAACUCCUACGGGAGGCAGCAGUGAGGAAUAUUGGUCAAUGGGCGAGAGCCUGAACCAGCCAAGUAGCGUGCAGGACGACGGCCCUAUGGGUUGUAAACUGCUUUUAUGCGGGGAUAAAGUUCACUACGUGUAGUGUUUUGUAGGUACCGCAUGAAUAAGGACCGGCUAAUUCCGUGCCAGCCGCAGC
RNAcentral lists this ribosomal RNA (511 nucleotides) under uncultured bacterium. RNAcentral's name for it is "bacterial SSU rRNA". It matches the Rfam family "Bacterial small subunit ribosomal RNA", at positions 15 to 518 of the family's 1533-position model. The record is from RNAcentral.